RNAcentral lists this unclassified non-coding RNA (303 nucleotides) under plant metagenome. RNAcentral's name for it is "partial contains 5.8S ribosomal RNA, internal transcribed spacer 2, and large subunit ribosomal RNA". The stretch from base 1 to 105 matches the Rfam family "5.8S ribosomal RNA", at positions 50 to 154 of the family's 154-position model. The record is from RNAcentral.
GAAAUGCGAUAAGUAAUGUGAAUUGCAGAAUUCAGUGAAUCAUCGAAUCUUUGAACGCACAUUGCGCCCGCCAGUAUUCUGGCGGGCAUGCCUGUUCGAGCGUCAUUUCAACCAUCAAGCCCCGCGCUUGUUUUGGGGACCUGCGGCUGCCGCAGGCCCUGAAAACCAGUGGCGGGCUCGCUGUCACACCGGGCGUAGUAGAUUUUAUCUCGCUCAGGGCGUGCUGCGGGUUCCGGCCGUUAAAAAGCCUUUUUUACCCAAGGUUGACCUCGGAUCAGGUAGGAAGACCCGCUGAACUUAAGC